AGAGCUUUAUUUGCUUCGAGCAAAUAGGGAGCGAUACGACACGAAAUGAAAGGGGAAAGAGAUUGUUUAUUCUCUAUGCUGUUAAUUAAAUAAAACACCUAGUCUCAUAGCUCAGCUGGUUAGAGCGCUACACUGAUAAUGUAGAGGUCGGCAGUUCGAGUCUGCCUGAGACUACGAAAAGGAAAUUCUAGAAGUUGAGAUGUAGUUUUGUUAACUACUAACUGCUAUGUGCUAACGACUAGUAUAUGGGGGAUUAGCUCAGCUGGCUAGAGCGCCUGCCUUGCACGCAGGAGGUCAUCGGUUCGACUCCGAUAUUCUCCACUAAUUAUCUGGGAUUAUUCAGUUAAUAAACGUUCAUUGACAUAUUGAAAAAAGAUACAUUAAAUUAGAUAGAAAUAUUUAAAAAGUAAUAAAAUAAUUAUUGUUUACGAGCAAUAAUUGACUCAUUAAAAAGAAGGCUAAUUAUAUUUAUAUAGUUAGUUGGCAAAAGUA
Molecule: transfer RNA, 492 nt
Filed under: uncultured Flavobacteriaceae bacterium
Lineage: Bacteria; Pseudomonadati; Bacteroidota; Flavobacteriia; Flavobacteriales; Flavobacteriaceae
Description: 16S-23S ribosomal RNA intergenic spacer
Rfam family: tRNA (bases 101-174)
Source: RNAcentral